CCUACGGGAGGCUGCAGUGAGGAAUAUUGGUCAAUGGGCGGAAGCCUGAACCAGCCAAGUCGCGUGAGGGACUAAGGCCCUACGGGUCGUAAACCUCUUUUGCCGGGGAUCAGUGCCCAGCUCGCGAGCUGGGAUGGAGCGUACCCGGAGAAAAAGCACCGGCUAACUCCGUGCCACCAGCCGCGGUAAUACGGAGGAUCCGAGCGUUAUCCGGAUUUAUUGGGUUUAAAGGGAGCGUAGGUGGAUUGUUAAGUCAGUUGUGAAAGUUUGCGGCUCAACCGUAAAAUUGCAGUUGAAACUGGCAGUCUUGAGUACAGUAGAGGUGGGCGGAAUUCGUGGUGUAGCGGUGAAAUGCUUAGAUAUCACGAAGAACUCCGAUUGCGAAGGCAGCUCACUGGACUGCAACUGACACUGAGGCUCGAAAGUGUGGGUAUCAAACAGGAUUAGAUACCCGGGUAGUC
Molecule: ribosomal RNA, 461 nt
Filed under: uncultured bacterium
Lineage: Bacteria
Description: partial 16S ribosomal RNA
Rfam family: Bacterial small subunit ribosomal RNA
Source: RNAcentral